AAUCACUCACUCGAUGGAACUCACAUUCUUUCGAGUGGAUUUGGGUGUUGCUGGCGACGACGUCGGCUCACCUCGAAAUGCAGUAGUGGUGCAGAGGCCACAGACCAAUUGGUGUGAUACUUGAUGUCUCGCCUCUGGUUGAGUGCCUUGCGAUGCAUUGCUCAUAACCAAAAUCUUACUUUUUAAA
Molecule: unclassified non-coding RNA, 187 nt
Filed under: uncultured Basidiomycota
Lineage: Eukaryota; Fungi; Basidiomycota
Description: sequence contains ITS2
Source: RNAcentral